GUGUGUAUGUCUGUGUGUGUGUAUGUCAGUGUGUCUGUGUGUGUAUGUCAGUAUGUGUGUCAUAGACACACACAGACAUACUGACAUACAUACACAAACAAACAU
This 105-nucleotide microRNA precursor is filed under the name Pelobates cultripes (western spadefoot toad). Lineage: Eukaryota; Metazoa; Chordata; Amphibia; Anura; Pelobatidae. The record is from RNAcentral.